GGUUGGUGUGAAGGUAGUGGGUUAUCAGAACUUACUAACAUUAGUGUCACUAAAGUUGGUAUACAACCCCCCACUGCUAAAUUUGGCUGGCUUAAA
This 96-nucleotide Y RNA is filed under the name Propithecus coquereli (Coquerel's sifaka). RNAcentral describes it as "Y RNA (ENSPCOG00000005174.1)". It matches the Rfam family "Y RNA". From Rfam's summary of the family: Y RNAs are components of the Ro ribonucleoprotein particle (Ro RNP), in association with Ro60 and La proteins. The Y RNAs and Ro60 and La proteins are well conserved, but the function of the Ro RNP is not known. In humans the RNA component can be one of four small RNAs -- hY1, hY3, hY4 and hY5. The record is from Rfam by way of RNAcentral. Lineage: Eukaryota; Metazoa; Chordata; Mammalia; Primates; Indriidae.